RNAcentral lists this ribosomal RNA (251 nucleotides) under uncultured bacterium. RNAcentral's name for it is "partial 16S ribosomal RNA". It matches the Rfam family "Bacterial small subunit ribosomal RNA", at positions 335 to 600 of the family's 1533-position model. The record is from RNAcentral.
ACUCCUACGGGAGGCAGCAGUGGGGAAUCUUAGACAAUGGGGGAAACCCUGAUCUAGCCAUGCCGCGUGGACGAUGAAGGCCUUAGGGUUGUAAAAGUCCUUUUCAGCUGGGAAGAUAAUGACGGUACCAGCAGAAGAAGCCCCGCUAACUCCCGUGCCAGCAGCCGCGGUAAUACGGAGGGGGCUAGCGUUGUUCGGGAAUUACUGGGCGUAAAGCGCACGUAGGCGGACUAUUAAGUCAGGGGUGAAAU